GUGGCUAAACAAACACAUCCACGGGCUGGCGGCAGAAACUCUGGAGAGCUGGGUCAACAUUUUCAAACUUAGCCAACUUUUCCCCGUUGGUUUCUGAUAAAUCCUAGCAGAUAUGAAGGGUGUGUGGAGCUGUGCGUAAAGCUGGCUGGCAAACAACUCCUAAUCAUCUCCACUAGAGGGAGGGCUAACGCACAACAAGUCCACCAUGGAGCUGCAUCAGACCUACCUUUUCAUUUUUUAUUUUAUUUCUGGUGUAAUUCAUAAACUGGAUGAAUGACAGCCAUGACGGUGCCAACGUCCAGGCACACAAUGGAGACCUGACUGCAUUUUCCUCUGAAUGCAAAAACCUAUCCAUUAUAAACGUGUAAUUAUUGCCUUUAAUAGAUUAAUUCAUGCUGAAAGAUAGAAAUGGGUUCCAGGCUAUUGAUGUAAUUAUUUCACCAAAGAAAUUAAGUGACAUUAAAAGAAUGAUAUUGUCACCGCCAAAGUAUCAUUGAUUCGUUUCGAAUGCAAUUAACUGUAUUUGAAAAUGGGACCUGCACACUGAGCUGUGCAAGGAGCACCGAGGAUCACUUCAUUUGUGAGAGAUAUAAAGACCAAAUUAUCCCAUCACAGGGAAAAUCUAUAAAUGUAAUGGCACAGGGCUUCAGCGCUAAGGGGUGACAACAGCUAUCCUGUUCAGUUCUCUGUGUGUUAACCAGAACCUGUCAGCGACAUGCAGCAACAACAGUUUACCUGCUCACUUGGUUAAUUAUGAGGAAUUCUGCUUCUGAAGUUUGACUUAAAAGAAAAUAAAAUCUCUGAGAAACCAUCA
Molecule: long non-coding RNA, 814 nt
Organism: Nothobranchius furzeri (turquoise killifish)
Lineage: Eukaryota; Metazoa; Chordata; Actinopteri; Cyprinodontiformes; Nothobranchiidae
Source: RefSeq, a predicted model, not a curated record